GAGAUCACCAUAGUGACUUACAAGCAACUCACUUUACUUUGAUGUCGAACUAUCUAAAUUUUUAAUUCAGAGAUGAAAGAUUUUUGGGUGUAGUCAAGUAAUUGUCAAGUCGGUGUGUGAAUCAAGAUAGGAUUGAUCUUUCUGAAUAAGUAGGAGUUAAUGCAUCAGUGUAUUUCAAUUUAGUAAAAUCUGAUUCAGAUAAUCCAUGUGA
This 211-nucleotide long non-coding RNA is filed under the name Elaeis guineensis (African oil palm). Its description in RNAcentral is "long non-coding RNA (EGUI_LNC038580)". The record is from RNAcentral. Lineage: Eukaryota; Viridiplantae; Streptophyta; Magnoliopsida; Arecales; Arecaceae.